Long non-coding RNA from Camellia sinensis, 765 nucleotides. RefSeq lists it as uncharacterized. The record is from RefSeq and is a predicted model, not a curated record. NCBI's taxonomy places the organism in Eukaryota, Viridiplantae, Streptophyta, Magnoliopsida, Ericales, Theaceae.
UGGAAGAUACUUAACGGAGUGGUGGAGUAGCUGAAGAGGCACUGGAUGCGGACAUUCAAGACAGGAUCAUGACGGAGAGGGAGAUGCGAAGCUACAUCCACGAGUGUCAACGCCAAGUCUCUGAGCGUGAAGCCUCCUGGAAGUCCGAACUUUCUCAUCUCAAGGAUGGCAAUGAAGUGGUGAAUAUGAACCAAUGCUAUUCGGGCCCCCUCCCUUUCUCAUGCUGCUAAGCAAGGAAAAGCAAUGGAAAAAGGAAAUAUGGAAGUUAUUAAAAAGGUAGCAGAAGCCUUGGAUGAAAUAGGAAGACUGACAAAAAAAUGGUGGCAAAAUUAUGUUAGGGCAUCACUGUUUUGGUUUUGUUUCAUACAGAACUGUAUAUUUCUGCCAAAUGAAACUUGUUGACUUACUGGUAGCUUCAUGUCAUGGACUGGGCGCUUGUCUUCCUCCCGAAAAGUCGGCUCCAUAAGUGGUACUGCGUACCCCGUGCAUUAUGUCCAAGAACCAACCUAGGAGAUGCAAUAGGGAUCUACCCUACCUGCCUUGCCGCUCACAAACUAAUGCACUUGCAAGGUGCUCGGUGUAGAACUCGCAUCCCCAAUGAGUCAGUACAUGACAUUCAACUCCAUAUUAAUUGGUCACUGAGCUGUUCAACUUCAGCUUAAUUAAACUUGGUCUGAACUGAAUCCAAGCCCAACUAGGCUGUGAUACCCCUGUUCCAUAAUAUGCUAAUUGGUCCUUAAUUUGAAUAUAAUUAUGUGUUUAACA